This is a long non-coding RNA of Cyanistes caeruleus (blue tit), 1122 nucleotides long. RefSeq lists it as uncharacterized. Lineage: Eukaryota; Metazoa; Chordata; Aves; Passeriformes; Paridae. The record is from RefSeq and is a predicted model, not a curated record.
GGGGACAGAGCCGCGGGGACAGCCGGCAGGCACGGGAGGGCCUCGGGGAGGCGGCACCGAGCUCCCCAAAGCCUCGCUGGCGCUCUACACCCUGACUAAGGAAAGAGAUUCCCAAGUACAGCACAAAGCAGCAGAGCUGCAGAACAGCACAUGCAAUAUCUGCUCCAACACUUCAUCAGCCAAGGAUCCUUUAGAGAUGAUCCUCUGCAGUAAAGGCUUUCCGUCACUUGUGAAGAUUUAAUUCUAUCAGCAAAACCCUCACCAACAAAAACAAGUUUCUCCAGUUCUCAGAAGUUAACAAGUGUUUUCCUGGCACAAGCUAUUUCUCCAUAAAUGUAAAAGCUGAUUUCCUAGACAUUAGAACAGGAUCUUUAAUUAAUCCUUAAUGUUGCCUUAACUCAUUACCAAAUCCCAGGACAAACACAGGCCUCAUCCAAAAGCUCAAAAUCACUGUAAAAACCUGAAGUUACGGUCUCAAACCAACACAUUUCCUUUUUAGAAAUACAGGAAGAUGCAGUAGUUACAAACAGUCCAUUUAUUGGGUCUUAAACUACGUACACAAUUGAAAUCAUAAUUUUGGCACUACGCUAUACAGUGGUUACAUCCAUGUGCUGACACUCCUUAAAUACUGCCCCAGGAGCACUGCUGUGCUUGGAAGUUUGGGAUGAGCCACACAAAGGUCUCAGUGCUCCUGGGGGGUUUUGCAUGAAAGAUGAAACACACAGCAGUUUAUGAGUUAUUUCCAUGUACCUCACGUUCUCUGAAUGGAUCACACCAGAAUAUGUGAUGUCAGCAUGGAGAAAUGGCCACACGUGUUGCAGUAAAAUCUGAAUGAGACGCAGUCAUGAGAUACAGGAAAAGCAAAACAAACCCUCUCAGACACAAAGAGAUAUUCUGUUAAAGAAAAUAAUUUAAAAAACUAAGAAUGGCAUUUGUUUUGAUACAAAAGCCAGAACCACUACUGUAUUAACAUCUAAGUAUGAAUCUUUACAAAUUAAUCUCACAAUGGUGUUAUGUAAAAGGUUGCAAACUGUACAAUGUUUUGUCAAUGCAAUGCCUCUACAAUUUAUACAGUCUUUUACAACUAUGUAACACAUAUUAAACAGCUUGUUAAACAGCCAA